AGUUAUUAAGGUACGGAUCCUUACCCCAUUCUUUAUUGCUUCAUAUUCAAAUUAUUAUAAAACCACUAAAUUACUAUAUCUGUUAAAAACUCUUCACGUUCGGAUUGCAGGCUGCAACUCGCCUGCAUGAAGCCGGAAUCGCUAGUAAUCGCCGGUCAGCCAUACGGCGGUGAAUCC
Molecule: non-coding RNA, 177 nt
Filed under: Helianthus annuus (common sunflower)
Lineage: Eukaryota; Viridiplantae; Streptophyta; Magnoliopsida; Asterales; Asteraceae
Description: sRNA HanXRQr2_Chr12g0557911
Rfam family: Bacterial small subunit ribosomal RNA
Source: Rfam by way of RNAcentral